This 497-nucleotide ribosomal RNA is filed under the name uncultured bacterium. RNAcentral describes it as "partial 16S ribosomal RNA". It matches the Rfam family "Bacterial small subunit ribosomal RNA", at positions 28 to 507 of the family's 1533-position model. The record is from RNAcentral.
GAUGAACGCUGGCGGCGUGCCUAAUACAUGCAAGUCGAGCGAACGGACGAGAAGCUUGCUUCUCUGAUGUUAGCGGCGGACGGGUGAGUAACACGUGGAUAACCUACCUAUAAGACUGGGAUAACUUCGGGAAACCGGAGCUAAUACCGGAUGAUAUUUUGAACCGCAUGGUUCAAAAGUGAAAGACGGUCUUGCUGUCACUUAUAGAUGGAUCCGCGCUGCAUUAGCUAGUUGGUAAGGUAAUGGCUUACCAAGGCAACGAUGCAUAGCCGACCUGAGAGGGUGAUCGGCCACACUGGAACUGAGACACGGUCCAGACUCCUACGGGAGGCAGCAGUAGGGAAUCUUCCGCAAUGGGCGAAAGCCUGACGGAGCAACGCCGCGUGAGUGAUGAAGGUCUUCGGAUCGUAAAACUCUGUUAUUAGGGAAGAACAUAUGUGUAAGUAACUGUGCAUAUCUUGACGGUACCUAAUCAGAAAGCCACGGCUAACUACGUG